This 278-nucleotide ribosomal RNA is filed under the name uncultured bacterium. Its description in RNAcentral is "partial 16S ribosomal RNA". It matches the Rfam family "Bacterial small subunit ribosomal RNA", at positions 28 to 334 of the family's 1533-position model. The record is from RNAcentral.
GAUGAACGCUGGCGGCGUGCUUAACACAUGCAAGUCGAACGAAGUCUUCGGACUUAGUGGCGGACGGGUGAGUAACGCGUGAGAAUCUGCCUUCAGGACGGGGACAACAACUGGAAACGGUUGCUAAUACCCGAUAUGCCGAGAGGUGAAAUGUUUUUUCGCCUGAAGAUGAGCUCGCGUCCGAUUAGCUAGUAGGAAGUGUAAAGGACUCCCUAGGCGACGAUCGGUAGCUGGUCUGAGAGGAUGAGCAGCCACACUGGGACUGAGACACGGCCCAG